Molecule: small nuclear RNA, 147 nt
Organism: Diceros bicornis minor
Lineage: Eukaryota; Metazoa; Chordata; Mammalia; Perissodactyla; Rhinocerotidae
Product: U4 spliceosomal RNA
Exons: 1
Source: RefSeq, a predicted model, not a curated record
AGCUUUGUGCAGUGGCCAGAUCGUAGCCAAGGAGGUUUAUCCGAGGCGCGAUUAUUCCUAACUGAAAACGUUUCUCAAUAGAAUGUAAUCUCCAAAGGCAGGAAUUUUUGUCAGUUUUGUUUACUGCUGUAUCCCUAACUCCUAGAA